GGCUUCCGUAGGUGAACCUGCGGAAGGAUCAUUA
RNAcentral lists this ribosomal RNA (34 nucleotides) under Aspergillus ochraceus. RNAcentral's name for it is "partial 18S ribosomal RNA". The record is from RNAcentral. Lineage: Eukaryota; Fungi; Ascomycota; Eurotiomycetes; Eurotiales; Aspergillaceae.